UACGUAGGGUGCAAGCGUUAAUCGGAAUUACUGGGCGUAAAGCGUGCGCAGGCGGUUCGUUAAGUCUGAUGUGAAAGCCCCGGGCUCAACCUGGGAACUGCAUUGGAAACUGGCGGGCUUGAGUAUGGCAGAGGGGGGUGGAAUUCCGCGUGUAGCAGUGAAAUGCGUAGAGAUGCGGAGGAACACCGAUGGCGAAGGCAGCCCCCUGGGCCAAUACUGACGCUCAGGCACGAAAGCGUGGGGAGCAAACAGG
RNAcentral lists this ribosomal RNA (253 nucleotides) under uncultured bacterium. RNAcentral's name for it is "partial 16S ribosomal RNA". It matches the Rfam family "Bacterial small subunit ribosomal RNA", at positions 524 to 776 of the family's 1533-position model. The record is from RNAcentral.